Molecule: unclassified non-coding RNA, 234 nt
Filed under: Hevea brasiliensis (rubber tree)
Lineage: Eukaryota; Viridiplantae; Streptophyta; Magnoliopsida; Malpighiales; Euphorbiaceae
Source: RNAcentral
UCUGGUGUAGUAUUCUCUUUCUGGAAGUUGCUGUCAAAGAUUCUGACAGACUCAACUUCCUUGGUGCCGACAAGAACUUGUAAGUGAAACUGGUGUAGCUUAAGCCUUCACCAAAUCCAUAGACUUGAUAUCCAGUGUAAAAACGGUAGGUUCUUCCAGGAUAACCACGAAAAGGAUCAGCUCGCAUAUUCAUAUCAGUCAUUGGUAUCUUGGUGAAAGACUCAGGAUACCAAG